AACUCUGACACAGUGCUGCAUGGCCGUCGUCAGCUCGUGUCGUGAGAUGUUGGGUUAAGUCCCGUAACGAGCGCAACCCUUGUCCUUAGUUACCAGCACGUUAUGGUGGGCACUCUAAGGAGACUGCCGGUGACAAACCGGAGGAAGGUGGGGAUGACGUCAAGUCAUCAUGGCCCUUACGGCCUGGGCUACACACGUGCUACAAUGGUCGGUACAAAGGGUUGCCAAGCCGCGAGGUGGAGCUAAUCCCAUAAAACCGAUCGUAGUCCGGAUCGCAGUCUGCAACUCGACUGCGUGAAGUCGGAAUCGCUAGUAAUCGUGAAUCAGAAUGUCACGGUGAAUACGUUCCCGGGCCUU
Molecule: ribosomal RNA, 357 nt
Filed under: uncultured Pseudomonas sp.
Lineage: Bacteria; Pseudomonadati; Pseudomonadota; Gammaproteobacteria; Pseudomonadales; Pseudomonadaceae
Description: bacterial SSU rRNA
Rfam family: Bacterial small subunit ribosomal RNA
Source: RNAcentral